AGCCCCUACACGUCGAGCGAGCGCGCACGCCGCGGCGAGGCCGGCGUGGUGCAGGGCAGCCCCUACGGCAGCCCGUACUCGAGCAAGCACGGUAGCCGAGAGAAACACAGGCGGCGACGCAAGCGCAGCAAGAACAAGGAUUCCGCGUCGCUGAAGGGGCAUAACACGGAUCAGGAAACGGUGUGCAGCGUGAAGUCUGGUCACCACACGCGUGACAGCCGACCUUCUGAAGGAGACUGCUCCUCGGAUGCCUGAGUCAUCCCAGAAGCAUGCCGGAAGCAUGCCGGAAGCAUACCAUAGGCAUCCCGGAAUCAUUCCGGAAGCAUCCUGGAAGUAUACUGGAGUCAUUCUGGAAGCAUCCUGGAAGUAUACUGGAGUCAUUCCGGAAGCAUGCCGAAUUCAUCCGGGGAAGUAUACCAGAGUCAUCCUGGAAGUAUAUUGUAGUCAUCCCGGAGGCAUACCUGAAUCAUCCCGGAGCUACGAUGCACAACUGAUUGAGAUCAUCCCGUCACCCACGAUUCCGUCGCCAUGGUGACACGCUAAUGUGGUGGGCGAUGCCGCGAGAGGGAAACGAUUUUGCACCCUCCGUCGAGGAACCUGAUUUUUGCCAAAGAGCCUUUUGCGCAUGACAUGACUUGCGGUUGCGAAAUGCAUGUCGUGUUGUCUCCUGGUUGUGUGAGACUGAUUGUACAGUGAUGCCAAGCUGCGGAGGUGACCGCUUGGACCACGAAUUGUGAAGGUAGUGGCACAAUUUUGUAUUGAUUAGAUUUGUAUCGCAUUGUGCUUUUAGUUGGCCACGUUUUUUUUUUUUACAUUUUGCAUUCUGGUUGUUUCCAGGGAGUAUCGUGAAUAGGUGUAAUUCCGCCCAAGAGGCACUCUGUUUUUGUGAACGUCUCUGCUCUGUAUUUAUUUCUAGAGUUUGUUACCAUAUAUCAUGUUAUGGUUUCCAACCUAUUGAAAGAAGGAGCAGUCAGUCCGUCUGAUGUUGCCUCGUGAUUGGAGACGUUGUAAAUCAUGCAUAGUAAUCAUAAAUGCAGAGUGUUUUCGUUGAGAAAGCUUGUGUCGUCUGUGUUGGCUCUACUUACUGUAUAUGGUUCCACCAUGAUGAUUCUUAACAUGAAUAUGUUUGUAAUGAUUUGACACAGUUAUGUUUACGCGGUAUUUUCUUCAACGCUGGGGAGACUAAGUUGUUUCGAAGCUUUUGGCGCAGUGGCUGGUUGUUUUUACGUCUUUAUCGGAAAUUAUUAGUAUUUCACAUAUUACGUUGCAUCUGUCCGCUGGAGGGCAGCACCGGGUCAGGCAGCGAUUUUAUGUCAGGCGUGAAAUUGUUCAGGUGAUGUGGUUUUAUCUAUUGAGUGUUGAGGAAAUUAUUCACGUUCGAAGUCGUGCGAGAAUGUUGUGUCUGUUUGUUAUUUAUGAAAAAAACGGUAGUUUUUUCUCCGUCGUUAGGUUGUGCAUAAAAAUCGUUACAAUGUUCACUGUGAAUCUUUUAGUGCUACUGGUUGCCACUAUACAACUAUACUAUAGUCAUCACCACUGCUCAUCUUCAUAUCCCCACAGCGUGGGAGCAAUGCAGGGUGGUGUAUGUAGUAGCUAGUGCUAGCGUUCACUGAAGAUGACCGCACUGCCUGUAGUGGCAUGUUGUGAGACACAGUAUACGUGCUAGCUAGCACUAGUAGCAGUGACUAGCGUUUAUCGUGAGCGUGGACGUAGCUCAGGCGAGAAAUAAGUUUGUGUUAUCCCUCACACCCCCCCACGUAUAUUUUAAAUGCGCAAUUGUAUGUGUGUGCGCGCGCGCGCACGCGUGUGUGCGGGAGUGUGCGUGAGUGUAUGAAUACAUACGAGUUUUACACCGCUGUACAGAUAUUACACAUUCUUCAUCGUCCGUCGCUGUGCGUGUUUUCGUGUAUUUAUUCAGUGUUUGUCAGCGCACUUGUUUUAUUGACAUGCUAUGUGUGGGGAUAGAUGGCGCUGAUCGUCAGCCGCGGUCACGUGGGAAAUCGAGACGUUUUAACUGAAUUUCUGUCUUAUUUCCUAGCAUUCAUAAUUUAGUUCUACGACCAAGUGUCUUCUUUAGUUUAAAACUGCAUGCGCGUGCGUGCGUGCAUGCGUUGGUGUAUGCGUGUAUGUACUUGUACUGUGCCAAACUCUGUCCGAAGAGAGCAUAAUAGCAUUCUCAUGUAUAGGGCAGGGUGCUGCGAAUAGAAUGCAAACAAUCACAAACAAUUCAUAGACGCCACUUGUCUCGUAUAAAUAACACAACAUUAACGUUGUGAGCCACGUUUUGUAAAGACGAUGCAGAUAUCAGCUUGUUGCACAGAUGAACAUUAUCCGAAGGAAUAUUAGUAAAAAAACAACAACACUACUGCCUUUUAUUGUCACGCGAUAUAAAUUAAAUCAAAACCAAUGAGCGAAAUUUGUCGAAACACGUCGAAUUCCUCCGGGUUUCUAACUUGCAGAUACGUGUCAUGUAUUUGUGGCCUAGGUUUAGCCGUGGUUUUGUUUUGUGAGCACAAUGUACGAGGCAUGUGCAUCACAUGUGCAGAAUGUAAGUAAAUGCUUCAGUUCGUGACGGGUGUCACCUGCGUAUAAACUGUCAUUUUUGAAUAAAUUAUAUUAAAAACGA
This 2626-nucleotide long non-coding RNA is filed under the name Priapulus caudatus. RNAcentral describes it as "uncharacterized LOC106805792". Lineage: Eukaryota; Metazoa; Priapulida; Priapulimorpha; Priapulimorphida; Priapulidae. The record is from RNAcentral.